GUCAAAUGUCUUAAAGGAUAUAUUUGAUUCAAUUUUUGACGAGUGUUUUCAAUGAAAACACUUCCUGAAAAUAUAAUACAAAACACUAUCACAAUAUAAUUAAGAUUACAACCCUGCCUUAAUAUAAGAAUAUAUUUUUUAAGCCGCAUCGCAUUGGUUUCUGGCACAUGUCGAAAGUUCUGGAUGUUUUCUUGCAUGUUUCUUCGUAAUUUUAUUAGUGUUUAUGGAAUUAAUUCAACGCCAUUUUAAGUGUAAGUUACUUUACUGAUGUUAGUGCUUGCACAGUUUAUUUUUGUACUCAUAUUUUGUUUCUACUCGAAAUUCUAGAUUAUGGGCAUCUAUUACUGCUUAACAAGUUCGAUAUUCAUCAUUUUCCUUCACGUGUGAAAACUUCCAAGCCUCCUUUCUUUUUGGUGAUGACUGACGAUAACUAUUCCACCAACAAAGCUCAUUUGUUAAUUUUUCAAUAAUUGCUUUUUUCUAUCUACUAAAUGUAUUUCAUGGAGAUGAAAAAUAUUUGGUUUAUUUUCCGUCCUUGGAUUCUAAGGGCUGUCACUAGAUGGCUAAAUAUUUCAGUGUGUUUAGGGAUUGAACUAUUCAGCUCUAGUGUGUUGGUUAGGAUGUAGGGGGGUGGGUCAUCAAACUGUCAAAGUUUUGAGAAGACAGACGAAUAAGUAGUUCUCUUGUUCCGAUACGCUGGCCGAGAAGGGUUACUCCAGUAAUUGCUGGGUACUUUAUUCUGGAAUUGUUCGUCAAAAAAAGGAUUCAUUUGUCAGUUUGAUGUUGAAGCUGUUAAUUGUGUUAUCGGGUGUGCAGUGGUUAAGCUGUCAUUUCCUAGUUAAGAGAUGCCCUGAAAUGGAAUUAAGGAGACUUGCAGUUCAGCAUUAUACUUCUAUGAUCUGCCUAUGUUGGUGUUCUUCAGUUCUUGCUAUGUUGAACUGUUGUGCAAAAUAGUCGAUGUUGCCUAGUGGUUGUCAAUUGUAUUUUAUCGGCUGCAUUAUGUCGAUGUGCCGUCUCUUACUACCUGUAUCCUCGUUAAGGUACGAACGUCCGCAAUUUAUCCACACAUUUACAGUAUGUACUUUUAUGUAUGAACAUUUUCCUAAAAUGCCGUCUCUUGCUUCGUGUUGGACGUUUCGUCAAGUGCAGAAGUACUUCAUAAAACACAGCAUUUCCAUUGAUGCCGAAGUUAAUUUCAUGCUGGUUAUAGUAUCACAUUUACACAGAUGAUGUUGCCAUCCCAUGUGACGAGUCAAACUAUUGCUGAGUGAAAGAUAAACGUUCAUCAGGUGAAUUUGUUUACCAUGUAGUAUAUCUAUUGAUGCUUAAAAUGAAUAUCAUGUUGUCUAUUAUUUAUUAUGUGAGCUGUGUUGCUGCUAUCCAGAUGGUUUUGUUGCAGUCAGCUGGUGAGAGGGUAGUUCGAGCUGACCUGCAGCUGCUGCAAGUAGUAAGUGGUGUUACUUGAAAUGUAACAGCAAUUGAAGAUGUUUGGAAUAUAUUUAAUAAAAAUUUAAGUUGUAUCUGGUAAAA
Daphnia pulicaria is the source of this 1530-nucleotide long non-coding RNA. RefSeq lists it as uncharacterized. The transcript has 4 exons. The record is from RefSeq and is a predicted model, not a curated record. Lineage: Eukaryota; Metazoa; Arthropoda; Branchiopoda; Diplostraca; Daphniidae.